CCCUUAGAUGUUCUGGGCCGCACGCGCGCUACACUGAUGCAUUCAACGAGUUUCUUCCUGGUCCGAGAGGAAUGGGUAACCUUUUGAAAGUGCUUCGUGAUAGGGAUAGACUAUUGCAAUUAUUGGUCUUCAACGAGGAAUUCCUAGUAGACGUAGUUCAUCAGACUGCAUCGAUUACGUCCCUGCCCUUUGUACACACCGCCCGUCGCUCCUACCGAUUGAAUGCUCAGGUGAGCCAUUCGGACUUUCAUCAUGCUGGUUUCCAGUUUUGAUGAAGGAAAGUCUUGCGAACCUUAUCAUUUAGAGGAAGGAGAAGUCGUAACA
RNAcentral lists this ribosomal RNA (324 nucleotides) under uncultured eukaryote. Its description in RNAcentral is "partial 18S ribosomal RNA". It matches the Rfam family "Eukaryotic small subunit ribosomal RNA", at positions 1470 to 1796 of the family's 1831-position model. The record is from RNAcentral.